This 506-nucleotide ribosomal RNA is filed under the name Bacteroides sp. MT 3. Its description in RNAcentral is "bacterial SSU rRNA". It matches the Rfam family "Bacterial small subunit ribosomal RNA", at positions 32 to 516 of the family's 1533-position model. Lineage: Bacteria; Pseudomonadati; Bacteroidota; Bacteroidia; Bacteroidales; Bacteroidaceae. The record is from RNAcentral.
UGUGACGCUGCGCAGCCCUAACACAUGCACGUCGAGCGGCAGCACGGUGUCUCGCUACACGAGUGGCAACGCGCCACACGGUUGAUUAACCGCUUAUACUCCCUCCAUAGUACCGGGGUAUAUCCUGUUGACGGACGGUCUAACCCCCUAUGCCACAGGAGGAUCCGGAUGCGUGUAGUUUGCCAAAGAUUAAUCGCGACGUCCAUAGACAUGCGUUCCAUUCGCUUGGUCUCCGAGGUACGGCGCUCACCAAGCCAAUGUUUGAUCAUGAUAACUGACAGGUUCAUCCCCCACACUGGUCCUAGAUCCACGGUCCAGACUCCUACGGGAGUGAUCAGCAGAUGAAUAUUGGUCAGUGCCACGAGAGUCUGAAUCAGCCAAGUCGUCGUGUAGGAAUACGGCCUUAUGAGCUUGUUAACUUCUUUUUUCUGGGAAUAAGUAGUCUGACGGGCUAAGACGUUGCGCGGUACCUUACUAUAAGGAUCGGCUACUUCAUACCAGCAGCG